RNAcentral lists this RNase P RNA (255 nucleotides) under Candidatus Bathyarchaeota archaeon. RNAcentral describes it as "partial RNase P RNA component". It matches the Rfam family "Archaeal RNase P", at positions 1 to 241 of the family's 288-position model. From Rfam's summary of the family: Ribonuclease P (RNase P) is a ubiquitous endoribonuclease, found in archaea, bacteria and eukarya as well as chloroplasts and mitochondria. Its best characterised activity is the generation of mature 5'-ends of tRNAs by cleaving the 5'-leader elements of precursor-tRNAs. Lineage: Archaea; Thermoproteati; Candidatus Bathyarchaeota. The record is from RNAcentral.
GUGAGCUGGCGGACAGCUCCGAGCCUUCAAAGCUUGAGGAAACUCCGCCCACCACGCAGAAUUGCAGCAUCCGAAAGGGUGCAAGGCGAGAGCUUUGGCAACAGAACAGAAACGAAACGUCCAUCCAAGCAGUUGACGAUGAUACAUGCUAAGUUGUUGAAGGAUGCUGGAUGUGAAACGGUGAAACGGCUGUCCUGCAAGGUGUAAGGGCAAAUAGGCGCCCAUGAAGAACUGCAAGAGGCGCGGGUAGCCCGA